This is a non-coding RNA of Cinara cedri, 206 nucleotides long. The record is from the annotation of a GenBank genome assembly. NCBI's taxonomy places the organism in Eukaryota, Metazoa, Arthropoda, Insecta, Hemiptera, Aphididae.
AGUAACAAAUCGACACCCCAAACUAAGAUAAACCAAAACCAAAAAAAAUAAUAUUAUAUGGCUGCAUUAUAGUCGUUAAUACAGAACUCAUUCAAUCAAAAUAAUACCAUCACAAAUUAAAAACAAUACAAUGAGUACCUAGACAAUUAGAAAAUAAUUUUCAAUAAAAUUAAAAUCAUGUAAUAUUUGAUUACUAAAUAAAUAGG